AUUGAACGCUGGCGGCAGGCCUAACACAUGCAAGUCGAGCGGAUGAAGGGAGCUUGCUCCUGGAUUCAGCGGCGGACAGGUGAGUAAUGCCUAGGAAUCUGCCUGGUAGUGGGGGAUAACGUCCGGAAACGGGCGCUAAUACCGCAUACGUCCUGAGGGAGAAAGUGGGGGAUCUUCGGACCUCACGCUAUCAGAUGAGCCUAGGUCGGAUUAGCUAGUUGGUGGGGUAAAGGCCUACCAAGGCGACGAUCCGUAACUGGUCUGAGAGGAUGAUCAGUCACACUGGAACUGAGACACGGUCCAGGCUCCUACGGGAGGCAGCAGUGGGGAAUAUUGGACAAUGGGCGAAAGCCUGAUCCAGCCAUGCCGCGUGUGUGAAGAAGGUCUUCGGAUUGUAAAGCACUUUAAGUUGGGAGGAAGGGCAGUAAGUUAAUACCUUGCUGUUUUGACGUUACCAACAGAAUAAGCACCGGCUAACUUCGUG
RNAcentral lists this ribosomal RNA (484 nucleotides) under uncultured bacterium. Its description in RNAcentral is "partial 16S ribosomal RNA". It matches the Rfam family "Bacterial small subunit ribosomal RNA", at positions 30 to 507 of the family's 1533-position model. The record is from RNAcentral.